GCGAGAGUGGCGGAACUGGCAGACGCGCAAGACUUAGGAUCUUGUCCCGCAAGGGGUCCCGGUUCGAGUCCGGGCUCUCGCA
This 82-nucleotide transfer RNA is filed under the name Planctomycetota bacterium. RNAcentral describes it as "tRNA-Leu". It matches the Rfam family "tRNA". From Rfam's summary of the family: Transfer RNA (tRNA) molecules are approximately 80 nucleotides in length. The record is from RNAcentral. RNAcentral also lists the same sequence under 1 other name. Lineage: Bacteria; Pseudomonadati; Planctomycetota.